Molecule: ribosomal RNA, 1542 nt
Filed under: Klebsiella pneumoniae
Lineage: Bacteria; Pseudomonadati; Pseudomonadota; Gammaproteobacteria; Enterobacterales; Enterobacteriaceae
Description: bacterial SSU rRNA
Rfam family: Bacterial small subunit ribosomal RNA
Source: RNAcentral
AAAUUGAAGAGUUUGAUCAUGGCUCAGAUUGAACGCUGGCGGCAGGCCUAACACAUGCAAGUCGAGCGGUAGCACAGAGAGCUUGCUCUCGGGUGACGAGCGGCGGACGGGUGAGUAAUGUCUGGGAAACUGCCUGAUGGAGGGGGAUAACUACUGGAAACGGUAGCUAAUACCGCAUAACGUCGCAAGACCAAAGUGGGGGACCUUCGGGCCUCAUGCCAUCAGAUGUGCCCAGAUGGGAUUAGCUAGUAGGUGGGGUAAUGGCUCACCUAGGCGACGAUCCCUAGCUGGUCUGAGAGGAUGACCAGCCACACUGGAACUGAGACACGGUCCAGACUCCUACGGGAGGCAGCAGUGGGGAAUAUUGCACAAUGGGCGCAAGCCUGAUGAUGCACCAUGCCGCGUGUGUGAAGAAGGCCUUCGGGUUGUAAAGCACUUUCAGCGGGGAGGAAGGCGAUAAGGUUAAUAACCUUGUCGAUUGACGUUACCCGCAGAAGAAGCACCGGCUAACUCCGUGCCAGCAGCCGCGGUAAUACGGAGGGUGCAAGCGUUAAUCGGAAUUACUGGGCGUAAAGCGCACGCAGGCGGUCUGUCAAGUCGGAUGUGAAAUCCCCGGGCUCAACCUGGGAACUGCAUUCGAAACUGGCAGGCUAGAGUCUUGUAGAGGGGGGUAGAAUUCCAGGUGUAGCGGUGAAAUGCGUAGAGAUCUGGAGGAAUACCGGUGGCGAAGGCGGCCCCCUGGACAAAGACUGACGCUCAGGUGCGAAAGCGUGGGGAGCAAACAGGAUUAGAUACCCUGGUAGUCCACGCCGUAAACGAUGUCGAUUUGGAGGUUGUGCCCUUGAGGCGUGGCUUCCGGAGCUAACGCGUUAAAUCGACCGCCUGGGGAGUACGGCCGCAAGGUUAAAACUCAAAUGAAUUGACGGGGGCCCGCACAAGCGGUGGAGCAUGUGGUUUAAUUCGAUGCAACGCGAAGAACCUUACCUGGUCUUGACAUCCACAGAACUUUCCAGAGAUGGAUUGGUGCCUUCGGGAACUGUGAGACAGGUGCUGCAUGGCUGUCGUCAGCUCGUGUUGUGAAAUGUUGGGUUAAGUCCCGCAACGAGCGCAACCCUUAUCCUUUGUUGCCAGCGGUCCGGCCGGGAACUCAAAGGAGACUGCCAGUGAUAAACUGGAGGAAGGUGGGGAUGACGUCAAGUCAUCAUGGCCCUUACGACCAGGGCUACACACGUGCUACAAUGGCAUAUACAAAGAGAAGCGACCUCGCGAGAGCAAGCGGACCUCAUAAAGUAUGUCGUAGUCCGGAUUGGAGUCUGCAACUCGACUCCAUGAAGUCGGAAUCGCUAGUAAUCGUAGAUCAGAAUGCUACGGUGAAUACGUUCCCGGGCCUUGUACACACCGCCCGUCACACCAUGGGAGUGGGUUGCAAAAGAAGUAGGUAGCUUAACCUUCGGGAGGGCGCUUACCACUUUGUGAUUCAUGACUGGGGUGAAGUCGUAACAAGGUAACCGUAGGGGAACCUGCGGUUGGAUCACCUCCUUA